Molecule: ribosomal RNA, 305 nt
Filed under: uncultured bacterium
Lineage: Bacteria
Description: bacterial SSU rRNA
Rfam family: Bacterial small subunit ribosomal RNA
Source: RNAcentral
UACGUCCUACGGGGGGCAGCAGUGGGGAAUAUUGCGCAAUGGGGAAAACCCUGACGCAGCAACGCCGCGUGAGUGAAGACGUAUCUCGGUAUGUAAAGCUCUAUCAGCGGGGAAGAAGGAAGACGGUACCCGACUAAGAAGCCCCGGCUAACUACGUGCCAGCAGCCGCGGUAAUACGUAGGGGGCGAGCGUUAUCCGGAUUUACUGGGUGUAAAGGGAGCGUAGACGGCGUCGCAAGUCUGAAGUGAAAGCCCGUGGCUCAACCGCGGAACCGCUUUGGAGACUGCGUGGCUGGAGUGCUGGAG